CAGAGGGUGCAAGCGUUGUUCGGAAUUAUUGGGCGUAAAGCGCGUGUAGGCGGCCUAGCAAGUCGGGUGUGAAAGCCCUCAGCUCAACUGAGGAAGUGCGCCCGAAACUGCUGGGCUUGAGUGCCGGAGAGGGUGGCGGAAUUCCCCAAGUAGAGGUGAAAUUCGUAGAUAUGGGGAGGAACACCGGUGGCGAAGGCGGCCACCUGGACGGCAACUGACGCUGAGACGCGAAAGCGUGGGGAGCAAACAGGAUUAGAUACCCUGGUAGUCCACGCCGUAAACGAUGAGAACUAGGUGUCGUGGGAGUUGACCCCUGCGGUGCCACAGCUAACGCAUUAAGUUCUCCGCCUGGGAAGUACGGUCGCAAGACUA
Molecule: ribosomal RNA, 372 nt
Filed under: uncultured organism
Description: bacterial SSU rRNA
Rfam family: Bacterial small subunit ribosomal RNA
Source: RNAcentral